This 217-nucleotide long non-coding RNA is filed under the name Elaeis guineensis (African oil palm). Its description in RNAcentral is "long non-coding RNA (EGUI_LNC024094)". Lineage: Eukaryota; Viridiplantae; Streptophyta; Magnoliopsida; Arecales; Arecaceae. The record is from RNAcentral.
UAGUGGCCUUCAGCAUGGCAGUGGAAACAUUUUUUUUUACUUCGGUCUUGCUAAGAACUUUCUUCUUUGUCCUAUUUUUUUUUUCUGCUUCUUAACGAAUUUUGCCUUCUUCUUUCCAGUAGACUUUUUCUUGAAAGAAGUCCACUCUACAGUGAGGACAGUGCCCCUUGAACUCUUUAAGGUUCCUUUCAUAGUGACCAACAUGUUGACCAGUUCG